CAGUAGCCGCGGUAAUACGAAGGGGGCUAGCGUUGCUCGGAAUGACUGGGCGUAAAGGGCGCGUAGGCGGCGAUCAAAGUCAGGCGUGAAAUUCCUGGGCUCAACCUGGGGGCUGCGCUUGAUACUUGGUUGCUUAAGUGGGGAAGAGGGUCGUGGAAUUCCCAGUGUAGAGGUGAAAUUCGUAGAUAUUGGGAAGAACACCGGUGGCGAAGGCGGCGACCUGGUCCUUGACUGACGCUGAGGCGCGAAAGCGUGGGGAGCAAACAGGAUUAGAUACCCCAGUAGUCCCUGUCUCUUAUAC
Molecule: ribosomal RNA, 301 nt
Filed under: uncultured bacterium
Lineage: Bacteria
Description: partial 16S ribosomal RNA
Rfam family: Bacterial small subunit ribosomal RNA
Source: RNAcentral